UUAAUCUACUUGUCCAAAAAAAUUAGAAGAGGAAAAAGAGGGAGAAUGAAACCCUAGAUCUACGCCACUGUAUUCAUUUUGUCACCGUCAAGCUCGCUAUAGCUACUGAGAUCGGAGGGAGAGUAACCGGCGACGCCCGCGAUGCCAUCCUUGCCGAAAUCCAGGAGCAGAUUUCCAUCCUCAACUCCACUUUCUCAUGGAAGGAGUCAGAUCGAGCCGCCGCCAAGCGGCCAUUCACGCGCUCGCCAAUCUUGCCAAAAACGAGGAAGUGGUGAACGUGAUUGUCGAAGGAGGAGCUAUUCCUUCGUCGCGUCUCCUGAGGUCACGACACGUAAUUAGCCUCAUGCCGUAAAAGAAUAUGCUUUGUGGUUUGGUGAUCUUAAUGACUUGAGGAUUCUACCAGAUGCAAGCCAAGAUCUUUAUAUUAGAGUUCCUGCUUCAGAGUUAGAGACAAAAAAUGGAUGCAAGGGCAAGAUACAAAUUGCAGUUUGGGUCAUAAUUGGCGUAUUAUAUGUACCUCCUCUAAAGAAGGAGACUUUGUCUAGACACUCAUUCUUAGGCAAGUGGUCUUCGGGGCCAACGGCUUGGACCUAGUGCAGAAAUUAAGGUUCAAUAUCCAAGCAGUACUGAUCUGACACACGUCAAAGAUUCAAGCUUGAAUCAGGCUGGGCAAUAUGAUCUUGUGCAAUUAAAGAAUUGGAUCAAGGACCAGCUGCAUCCACAAUGAACUCAGUUCUCUCAUUGGAUGACGGAAGAUGGUCGCAUCCUGUUGUAACUGAAUCAAAGGAGGACUCUUUCCACUUUUUCAAACAGCCUUUGCCACCUCCUGUUCUUGCUCAGGUGUAUCCUGAGUCUUCUCCCAUUCCUCCUUCAAAAGUUGCAGAUCCAAGGCCUGGACCAGCUAAAUCUUCUCAGGAUUCUGGACCUGGUCCCAGUACAUACCAACACCUACAUAUUGUAAGCCUGAUUUAUUUUACGUUUUAAAUGGAAUUGUUCAAAGCACAUCAUGGACUCUCUUGAUCAUUCACUGUGACUUGUUCUUAUGUGUGGUUUGUUUGG
This is a non-coding RNA of Arachis ipaensis, 1059 nucleotides long. Lineage: Eukaryota; Viridiplantae; Streptophyta; Magnoliopsida; Fabales; Fabaceae. The record is from RefSeq and is a predicted model, not a curated record.